CCUACGGGAGGCAGCAGUAAGGAAUAUUGGUCAAUGGAGGCAACUCUGAACCAGCCAUGCCGCGUGCAGGAAGAAGGCCCUAUGGGUCGUAAACUGCUUUUGUACCAGAGAAAACCCGAGUACGUGUACUCGGUUGAUAGUAUGGUAAGAAUAAGCAUCGGCUAACUUCGUGCCAGCAGCCGCGGUAAGACGAAGGAUGCAAGCGUUAUCCGGAUUCAUUGGGUUUAAAGGGUGCGUAGGCGGACUGAUAAGUCAGUGGUGAAAUCUCUCGGCUUAACCGAGAAACUGCCAUUGAUACUGUUAGUCUAGAGUAUAGAUGACGUUGGCGGAAUAUGACAUGUAGUGGUGAAAUACUUAGAUAUGUCAUAGAACACCGAUUGCGAAGGCAGCUAACGAAACUAUAACUGACGCUGAGGCACGAAAGUGCGGGGAUCAAACAGGAUUAGAUACCCUGGUAGUCCGCACCGUAAACGAUGAUUACUCGUUGUUGGCAAAUAUGACCGUCAGCGACCGACGACGAAGACGAGUAAGUAAAGUACCACCGUCGGGGUAGGGUACGGUUCCGGCCGACCGGUUACGGUUAAACGUUAAAGUUAAGUUAAGUUAGUACGGGACGUUGAGGACGUUCGCCGACGGACGACGACGAGGGAGGAGGAGG
This 658-nucleotide ribosomal RNA is filed under the name uncultured bacterium. RNAcentral's name for it is "bacterial SSU rRNA". The stretch from base 1 to 540 matches the Rfam family "Bacterial small subunit ribosomal RNA", at positions 338 to 873 of the family's 1533-position model. The record is from RNAcentral.